UACGUAGGUGGCAAGCGUUGUCCGGAAUUAUUGGGCGUAAAGCGCGCGCAGGCGGUCUUUUAAGUCUGAUGUGAAAGCCCACGGCUCAACCGUGGAGGGUCAUUGGAAACUGGGAGACUUGAGUGCAGAAGAGAAGAGUGGAAUUCCACGUGUAGCGGUGAAAUGCGUAGAGAUGUGGAGGAACACCAGUGGCGAAGGCGACUCUUUGGUCUGUAACUGACGCUGAGGCGCGAAAGCGUGGGGAGCGAACAGG
Molecule: ribosomal RNA, 253 nt
Filed under: uncultured bacterium
Lineage: Bacteria
Description: partial 16S ribosomal RNA
Rfam family: Bacterial small subunit ribosomal RNA
Source: RNAcentral